Molecule: ribosomal RNA, 253 nt
Filed under: uncultured bacterium
Lineage: Bacteria
Description: partial 16S ribosomal RNA
Rfam family: Bacterial small subunit ribosomal RNA
Source: RNAcentral
UACGUAGGGGGCAAGCGUUGUCCGGAUUUAUUGGGCGUAAAGAGCGUGUAGGCGGCCAUACAGGUCCGUUGUGAAAACUGGAGGCUCAACCUCCAGACGUCGACGGAAACCGUAUGGCUAGAGUCCGGAAGAGGAGAGUGGAAUUCCUGGUGUAGCGGUGAAAUGCGCAGAUAUCAGGAAGAACACCCGUGGCGAAGGCGGCUCUCUGGGACGGUACUGACGCUGAGGCGCGAAAGCGUGGGGAGCGAACAGG